Molecule: ribosomal RNA, 461 nt
Filed under: Monodaeus rectifrons
Lineage: Eukaryota; Metazoa; Arthropoda; Malacostraca; Decapoda; Xanthidae
Description: partial 16S ribosomal RNA
Rfam family: Bacterial large subunit ribosomal RNA
Source: RNAcentral
CAAAGGUAGCAUAAUCAUUAGUUUUUUAAUUGGAAACUGGUAUGAAGGGUUGGACAAAGGAAGGACUGUCUUUAAAAUAUAAGUUGAAAUUUACUUUUAAGUGAAAAGGCUUAAAUAUAUCUAAGGGACGAUAAGACCCUAUAAAGCUUUAUAUAUUAUUUAAAUUUGGUUGAUUUAUAAAAUAAAAACUAGGUUUGAUUAUUUUAUUUUGUUGGGGCGACAUAAGUAUAAUUUAUAUUAACUGCUUAGAAAAUAUACAAUUAUAAGUGAUUUAAAUGUGCAUGAUCCUAUUUAAAGAUUAAAAGACUAAGUUACUUUAGGGAUAACAGCGUUAUUUCUUUUGAGAGUCCAUAUCGAAAAAGAAGUUUGCGACCUCGAUGUUGAAUUAAAAUAUCUAUAUAAUGCAGCCGUUAUAAGAGAAGGUCUGUUCGACCUUUAAAUUUUUACAUGAUUUGAGUUCA